CGGGAGGCAGCAGUGCGGAAUAUUGCACAAUGGGCGCAAGCCUGAUGCAGCGACGCCGCGUGGAGGAAGAAGGUCUUCGGAUUGUAAACUCCUGUUGAGUGGGAAGAAAGACGGCUGGUUAAUACCCAGUUGGGAUGACGGUACCACUCGAGGAAGCACCGGCAAACUUCGUGCCAGCAGCCGCGGUAAUACGAAGGGUGCGAGCGUUAUUCGGAGUUAUUGGGCGUAAAGGGCGCGUAGGCGGUCCACUAAGUCAGCUGUUAAAGACCUCGGCUUAACCGAGGAAAAGCAGGUGGUACUGGAGGGCUAGAGGACAGAAGAGAGAAGUGG
Molecule: ribosomal RNA, 330 nt
Filed under: uncultured bacterium
Lineage: Bacteria
Description: bacterial SSU rRNA
Rfam family: Bacterial small subunit ribosomal RNA
Source: RNAcentral